RNAcentral lists this ribosomal RNA (327 nucleotides) under uncultured eukaryote. RNAcentral's name for it is "partial 18S ribosomal RNA". It matches the Rfam family "Eukaryotic small subunit ribosomal RNA", at positions 1470 to 1796 of the family's 1831-position model. The record is from RNAcentral.
CCCCUAGAUGUUCUGGGCCGCACGCGCGCUACACUGAACAGUUCAACAAGUCUUAACCUUGGCCGAUAGGUCUGGGUAAUCUUUGAACGCUGUUCGUGAUUGGGAUAGACCUUUGCAAUUAUGGGUCUUCAACGAGGAAUUCCUAGUAAACGCAAGUCAUCAGCUUGCAUUGAUUACGUCCCUGCCCUUUGUACACACCGCCCGUCGCACCUACCGAUUGAAUGGUCCGGUGAAAUCUUCGGAUCUGAGAGAUGUCUGAUUAAUUUCGGACGCCUUUUGGAAAAGUUGCUUAAACCUUACCAUUUAGAGGAAGGUGAAGUCGUAACA